RNAcentral lists this ribosomal RNA (503 nucleotides) under uncultured bacterium. Its description in RNAcentral is "partial 16S ribosomal RNA". It matches the Rfam family "Bacterial small subunit ribosomal RNA", at positions 30 to 523 of the family's 1533-position model. The record is from RNAcentral.
AUUGAACGCUGGCGGCAGGCUUAACACAUGCAAGUCGAGCGGGGUGAUGGUGCUUGCACUAUCACUUAGCGGCGGACGGGUGAGUAAUGCUUAGGAAUCUGCCUAUUAGUGGGGGACAACAUCUCGAAAGGGAUGCUAAUACCGCAUACGUCCUACGGGAGAAGGCAGGGGAUCACUUGUGACCUUGCGCUAAUAGAUGAGCCUAAGUCGGAUUAGCUGGUUGGUGGGGUAAAGGCCUACCAAGGCGACGAUCUGUAGCGGGUCUGAGAGGAUGAUCCGCCACACUGGGACGGAGACACGGCCCAGACUCCUACGGGGGGCAGCAGUGGGGAAUAUUGGACAAUGGGGGGAACCCUGAUCCAGCCAUGCCGCGUGUGUGAAGAAGGCCUUAUGGUUGUAAAGCACUUUAAGCGAGGAGGAGGCUCUUUUGGUUAAUACCCAAGAUGAGUGGACGUUACUCGCAGAAUAAGCACCGGCUAACUCUGUGCCAGCAGCCGCAGUAA